GCUGGGGUUACAGGCCUGAGCCACCGUGCCUGGCCAAAGACAUUUGUUUUUUUUUUUUUUUUCUAGUUUUGGCCUGUAAUGAGUAAUGCUGCUGCACAUGUUCUUGUGUGUGUCUUUUGAUGCAUAUCAGAAUGAAUUUCUGUUGGGUAUAUCCCUACGAAACAAAUUGCAUAUGUUCAACUUUAGUAGGUAUGGCCCAUUUUCUGAAGUGGCUGUGCUGAUCUUUCUCCCACUAGCAGUGUAUGAGAAAUGAGAGUUUCAUUUCCUUUACAUCCUUGUCAGUGAACACUAGGUAUUGUCAAUCUAUUUUAUUACUUCAGCCAUUCUGAUAGGUGCAUAAUGAUAUCUCAUUGUGUCUGUGCGUGUAUGUAUGUAGGUGGUUUUGUACUUCCCUGAUUACUAAUGAAGUUACACACCUUUUCACCUUUUUACUAGCAUUUGGGUAUUGUCUUUUACAAAUUUUCUAUUGAAGUCAUUUGCCAGUUCUUAAAAAACUUUGUUGAGAUAUAAUUCACAAACGAUAUGGUUCACCCACUUAAAGUAUACAGACCAAUAAUUUUUGGUAUUUUACAUUAUUUUAAAAAUUGUGGUAAAAUAUAUAUAACAUAACAUUUACCAUUUUAACCAUUUUAAGUAUAUGAUUCAGUGGCAUUAAGUACAUUUGCAUUGUUGUGCAGCUAUCACCACUAUUUCCAACACUUUUAUGUUGCCCUAAACAGAAGCUAUAACUAUUAAGCAAUACCUCCCAGUUUCCACCUAACCCCUGGUAACCUCUAAUCUACUUCUUAUCUCUAUAAAUUUACCUGUUCCACAUACCUCAUAUAAGUAGAAUUAUACAACAUUUAUCCUUUGUGUCUGGGUAUUUAUUUCACUUGGCAUAGUAGAUUUAUUUCACUUGUCAUAAUGUUUUCGAGGUUCAUUCAUGUUGUAGCAUAUACCAGAACUUCAUUUCUUUUUAUUGCUGAAUAAUUUUUCAUUGUAUGAAUAUACCACAUUUUAUAUGCUCAUCUGUUGACGGAUACUUGGGCUUCUUGCCAGUUUUCAAAAUUAAGGAGUCAGUGUCCCCUCCCACUCCCUUGGUUUCAGUGGGUUUAAAAAACAUGUUUGUUGAAGUACUGGCACAUUAUUGUUUAUAUGUGUUGUAAAAUCUCUUACUCUGUGACUUGCUUUUUUACUUUCUCAGUUUGGCGUCUUUUAAAGAACAGAAGUUCUUAAUAUUAAGUGAUUCAUUUAAGCAACUUUUUUCUCCUUUACUAGCAUUUUUUGUGUCUUGACUACAAAUUUUUUGCCUUUCCUAAUGUCAUAAAGAUAUUUCCUGUUAUCCUUUGUAAGCUAUACUGUUUUACCUUUUAUAUUUCAACCUACAGCCUAUCUGGAAUUCAUUGUCUUGUGUGCAAUGAGAGUUGGGGGUAAGGACAAAAUUUUUUUUUUUUUUUUUUUGGUGAUGGCUGGCUUAUUUAUGUUUAGCCUUUUUAGGAAGAUAAGAUGUGGUCUUAUACUUUGUUUUACCUGUAGAAUCUAGUACAGUGCCUUGCAUAUGGUGAGUGAUCAAUAAACUCUUAUUAAUAAAUAAGUCAUGAAGACUCAUCUCCCAAAAAACACAUAGGGUCCCAAACAGAAUUCUGUAUAUGAAUGCUAUGUAAGCAUUAUUUUUUUCCUCCUUUUGUUGUCUUUUUCCUCCUCCUCUGUUGUCACCAUCAUCUUUAUCACUGUCAUAUCCUUUUACUUCAUUAACAUAAUCUUCAUCAUCUGGAGUUGAGGUUAAGUUUUUAAUCUCACAAUAUUAAUUUUUCUAUUAUAUAGUAAUUUGUUUUAAAAUAAUCAUUUUAGUUUUAAAUGGCCUUUUACAUUGUUGAAUCCUUUGCAUCAUAUAACCACUGCCUACAUUUGUAUUGUACAAGGGAUUUUAACCUGUGACCAAAAGAUGGUUUUCGGGGAGGUCACAGAAAUUUCAUUCCAAAUUUAGUGUUAUAUGCAUUUGACAUUAUUCGUUUCCCUGGGGAGAGUGUCUCAUCAACUUUUAAAAAUAUGGUAUUUCAUUUUCCAACAAACUAUUGAGAACCUAUUCUAUAUACACCACUGUGAGUUAUAAAGAGAUGUUCAAUAUAUCUAGUCUUAAGUAACUUUAUACUUAUAUAACUACAGUUGGAAUUAUAACUGUAGUUACAGUUUGGAGAUGUAUGUGAAUCAGGAAAGAAGUAAUUGCAGAAUACUUAUUAUCAGGAUUGUGUGGGGAAACAGAAGUAUAGAUAUAUCAUAGUUAAAAUGUCAUGUGGAAGAAGAUAUAGCCAGAUAGCUAAUAAACUUGUGUAUUGCCUGUCUGGUCUUUAUCCCAGCCAGUGAGGCAUGGCACAUCUGAUUCUUAUGUAUUCAGUGGUUUGUAAGGAGAAAAAGAACAACUGAGGGUUUAUUAUACUCCAGGCAUCUGGGGAUAGAAGGAUGACAAAUGUGGAUGAUCCAGUGUUCAAGUUUAGACUAAACUUCCAUGAUUUACUCUGAAAGACAGACAUGACUUAGCUCAUUAUGGUGUCAUGUAUUACAUUUGUGGAGUGAGUGAAGUGUAAUUUCCUGCUCAAUUCUCAUUCUUGUCCUCACCAAGCCAUUCGAUUUUCCCUGGUAGUAUGUAUUCUUUGGAGUAUGGUCCUUUGGAGUCUGCACGCUGUGCAACUGUGCAUGAGUAUGUAAAAGUGAUGACAUCGAGGCAGUGACAGAAAACAGGUGGAGUCUGAGGCAGUGCACCUGGUUACUCAGGAUUACAUGAAGUAUAUGAGAGACCAAGCAGUGUCUGUGUGUCCUUAUAAGGGGAUUGACAGAGGCCUGUGUUACAAUGUAGAGGUCUGUGCAGGGAUUUCAAGAUCAGUGUCUUCCUCUGUUUGGGCCGCAGUAACAGAAUACGACAGACUUGGUGGCUUAUAAACCACAGAAAUGUAUUUCUCACAGUUUUAGAGGCUGGGGAGUCUAAGAUCAAGGUGCCUGCAAAUUUAAUGUCUAGCAGCCUGCUUCCUGGCUUGUGAACAGCUCUCUUCUUGCGGUGUCCUCACAUAGUGGAAGGGGCAAAGAGCUCCCUGGGGCCUCUUUUAUGAUGGCAUAAAUCUCAUGUGUGAGAGGUCCACCAUCAUGACCUAAUCAUCUCCCAAAGACUCCGCCUUCAGGUAUCACCACUUUGGGUUUUAGGUUUCAAUAUAUGAAUUUUGUGGGGGAUACAAACAUUCAGUCUAUAGCAAUCAGAGACAAAUGGCCAGGAUCACAGUACAGGGGUGGGAACCUGCACACACCCACCACUGUUCCCGUUCAAUAACAGCAACAAUGGAAAGAAAACCCUCACAAAGGAGCAUUCAUAUUUUACUGGUUACCAGUCUGGCCUAGUCUGUCAAGAUACUCUCCAGCAGAGGCAGGAAGAUACCGUCUUGAAGCAAAGCAGCACAAGGGGAAAGAAAUCUGAAAGACCGAGAAUUUCUCUGAGCUAUUGAAAAGAGAAAUCUAGAGGUU
Macaca mulatta (Rhesus monkey) is the source of this 3489-nucleotide non-coding RNA. The record is from RefSeq and is a predicted model, not a curated record. Lineage: Eukaryota; Metazoa; Chordata; Mammalia; Primates; Cercopithecidae.